RNAcentral lists this ribozyme (116 nucleotides) under Aedes aegypti (yellow fever mosquito). RNAcentral describes it as "drz-agam-1 ribozyme". It matches the Rfam family "drz-agam-1 ribozyme". Lineage: Eukaryota; Metazoa; Arthropoda; Insecta; Diptera; Culicidae. The record is from Rfam by way of RNAcentral.
UGCCGAGCAACUCCUAUCCCUACCUUCUCGCGGUACUGCCCGGAGUACGAGCAACUUUAGGGAAGAUCGGGUAAUCAACUCCGGUGGGAACUUUGAUCGUAUGCUGACAGGGAAGG